Molecule: long non-coding RNA, 73 nt
Organism: Ipomoea nil (Japanese morning glory)
Lineage: Eukaryota; Viridiplantae; Streptophyta; Magnoliopsida; Solanales; Convolvulaceae
Exons: 3
Source: RefSeq, a predicted model, not a curated record
UGGAAAAAAAGGGAUGUUGGUUUUUCUUACAGGGAGAUUGGUUCUAGUGAGAGUGAUUCAGACUCUAAAACAG